RNAcentral lists this ribosomal RNA (452 nucleotides) under uncultured marine bacterium 311. RNAcentral's name for it is "bacterial SSU rRNA". It matches the Rfam family "Bacterial small subunit ribosomal RNA", at positions 1078 to 1532 of the family's 1533-position model. The record is from RNAcentral.
UGGGUAGUCAGUACGAGCGCAUCCCUAUCCUUAUUUGCCAGCGCAUAAUGGCGGGAACUAUAAGGAGACUGCCGGUCACAAACCGGAGGAAGGCGGGGACGACGUCAAGUCAUCAUGGCCCUUAUGGGUAGGGCUACACACGUGAUACAAUGGGUGGUACAGAGGGUCGCCAAAUCGCGAGCUGGAGCCAAUCCCUUAAAACCAUUCUUAGUCCGGAUUGGAGUCUGCAACUCGACUCCAUGAAGUCGGAAUCGCUAGUAAUCGCGUAUCAGAAUGUCGCGGUGAAUACGUUCUCGGGCCUUGUACACACCGCCCGUCACGUCAUGGAAGUGGGUUGCACCAGAAGUGGGUUGUCUAACCUUCGGGAAGACGGUCACCACGGUGUGAUUCACAACUGGGACGAAGUCGUAACAAGGUAGCCCUAGGGGAACCUGGGGCUGGAUCACCUCCUU